UACGAAGGGUGCUAGCGUUGCUCGGAAUCACUGGGCGUAAAGGGUGCGUAGGCGGGCCUUUAAGUCAGGGGGGAAAUCCUGGAGCUCAACUCCAGAACUGCCUUUGAUACUGAAGAUCUUGAGUCCGGGAGAGGUGAGUGGAACUGCGAGUGUAGAGGUGAAAUUCGUAGAUAUUCGCAAGAACACCAGUGGCGAAGGCGGCUCACUGGCCCGGUACUGACGCUGAGGCACGAAAGCGUGGGGAGCAAACAGG
Molecule: ribosomal RNA, 253 nt
Filed under: uncultured bacterium
Lineage: Bacteria
Description: partial 16S ribosomal RNA
Rfam family: Bacterial small subunit ribosomal RNA
Source: RNAcentral